GGCCAACAUGGCAUAGUGGUUUGAAUGUUGGACUACAGCUUUGGAGAUCGGGGUUCGAUUUCCCGCUUGGUCA
Phrynosoma platyrhinos (Desert horned lizard) is the source of this 73-nucleotide non-coding RNA. The record is from the annotation of a GenBank genome assembly. Lineage: Eukaryota; Metazoa; Chordata; Lepidosauria; Squamata; Phrynosomatidae.